This 318-nucleotide ribosomal RNA is filed under the name uncultured bacterium. RNAcentral describes it as "bacterial SSU rRNA". It matches the Rfam family "Bacterial small subunit ribosomal RNA", at positions 28 to 334 of the family's 1533-position model. The record is from RNAcentral.
GACGAACGCUGGCGGCGUGCCUAAUACAUGCAAGUCGAGCGAACCAAUAAGAAGCUUGCUUUUUGUUGGUUAGCGGCGGACGGGUGAGUAACACGUGGGUAACCUGCCUGUAAGACCGGGAUAACUCCGGGAAACCGGUGCUAAUACCGGAUAGAUUAUCUUUCCGCCUGGAGAGAUAAGGAAAGAUGGCUUUUGCCAUCACUUACAGAUGGGCCCGCGGCGCAUUAGCUAGUUGGUGAGGUAACGGCUCACCAAGGCGACGAUGCGUAGCCGACCUGAGAGGGUGAUCGGCCACACUGGGACUGAGACACGGCCCAG